UACGUAGGGGGCGAGCGUUGUCCGGAUUCAUUGGGCGUAAAGCGCGCGUAGGCGGCCCCGCAAGUCGGCCGUGAAAUCUCCGGGCUCAACUCGGAGGGGUCGGGCGAGACUGCGCGGCUCGAGGUGGGCAGAGGGCAGUGGAAUUCCUGGUGUAGCGGUGGAAUGCGCAGAUAUCAGGAGGAACACCGGUGGCGAAGGCGGGUCUCUGGGCAGUAACUGACGCUGAGGAGCGAAAGCGUGGGGAGCGAACAGG
This 253-nucleotide ribosomal RNA is filed under the name uncultured bacterium. RNAcentral describes it as "partial 16S ribosomal RNA". It matches the Rfam family "Bacterial small subunit ribosomal RNA", at positions 524 to 776 of the family's 1533-position model. The record is from RNAcentral.